Molecule: ribosomal RNA, 497 nt
Filed under: uncultured bacterium
Lineage: Bacteria
Description: partial 16S ribosomal RNA
Rfam family: Bacterial small subunit ribosomal RNA
Source: RNAcentral
GAUGAACGCUGGCGGCGUGCCUAAUACAUGCAAGUCGAGCGAACGGACGAGGAGCUUGCUGCUCUGAUGUUAGCGGCGGACGUGUGAGUAACGCGUGGAUAACCUACCUAUAAGACUGGGAUAACUUCGGAAAAGCGGCUCUAAUACCGUAUGAUAUUUUGAACCGCGUGGGUCAAAAGUGAAAGACGGUCGUUGUGGCACUUAUAGAUGCAUCCCCGCUGGAUUGGAUGGUUGGUAAGGUAACGGCUUACGAAGGCAACGAUGCAUAGCCGAACUGAGAGGGUGGUAGGCCACCCUGGAACUGGGACACGGUCAAGACUCCUACGGGAGGCAGCAGUAGGGAAUCUUACGCAAUGGGCGAAAGCCUGACGGAGCAACGCCGCGUGAGUGAUGAAGGUCUUCGGAUCGUAAAACUCUGUUAUUAGGGAAGAACAUAUGUGUAAGUAAAUGUGCCCAUAUUGACGGUACCUAAUCAGAAAGCCACGGCUAACUACGUG